UGUAAUGAGCACAAAAAAUUUUGAUUUUUUAAGGGGUGGUUGAAAUCCACU
This 51-nucleotide transfer RNA is filed under the name Terrapotamon thungwa. Its description in RNAcentral is "tRNA-Gln". The record is from RNAcentral. Lineage: Eukaryota; Metazoa; Arthropoda; Malacostraca; Decapoda; Potamidae.